RNAcentral lists this long non-coding RNA (1053 nucleotides) under Cyanistes caeruleus (blue tit). RNAcentral's name for it is "lncRNA (ENSCCEG00000003753.1)". The record is from RNAcentral. Lineage: Eukaryota; Metazoa; Chordata; Aves; Passeriformes; Paridae.
AUGGGGUCAAAACCUCCCCAAAUCCCCCCAAAUCCUCACCCUGAGAGCCCCCAGACCCAAAUUUGGGGCAUUUUAGGACCAUUUGGAGCCCUCAAACCCCCUCAAACCUCCCCAAAUUCUCAUCCUCAGGGCCCCCAGACCACAAAUAACCCAAAUUUGGGACAUUUUGGGACCAUUUGGAGCCCUCAAACCCCCUCAAAACCCCCCAAAUCCUCACCCCAAGAGCCCCCAGACCCAAAUUUAGGGCAUUUUGGGACCAUUUGGAUCCCACAAACCCCCUCAGAACCCCCCAAAUCCCCUCAAAACCCCCCAAAUUCUCACCCCAAGAGCCCCCAGACCCAAUUUUGCCUCAUUUUAGGACCUUUUGGAGCCCUCAAACCUCCCCAAAUUCUCAUCCUCAGGGCCCCCAGACCACAAAUAACCCAAAUUUGGGGCAUUUUGGGACCAUUUGCAGCCCUCAAACCCCCACAAAUCCCCCCAAAUCCUCACCCCGAGAGCCCCCAGACCCAAUUUUGGGUCAUUUUAGGGCCAUUUGGAGCCCUCAAACCCCCUCAAACCUCCCCAAAACCCCCCAACCCCUCUCACCUUGAGCGGCUUCAGCGGCUCCAUCCCUUCUCCCUCCUCUCCUCCCUUCUUCCCCCUUCCUCUCCCUCUCCCCCUCGGCCUCUUGGCUCCGUCGGGGAAACCGGGCGGCUCCAGGGGCCGAAUCCUCGGCCUCCCCCGCGGCCUGGGGGGUCCUUCCCUCUUGGGCUUGGUGGGUUUCCUCCCUCUCUUUUUGGGGGCGGCGUGAGCUCCGGGGUGGGGACAGAAAUCGAUGUCGCCCAUGGGCGUCAGCGGGGGCCGGCGGCAGCUGGAGAUGAGGUCGGGGAGGAGGUCGGGGAGACGCCGCGAGUUGAGGCGGAUGUCGGCCGGCACGUCCGCCUUGUCCUCGUCGUCCUCGAACUCGUACUCCUGCGCGUAGGUUUUUUUGGGGGGCGGGAAGGGGUCCCUCUUCCUCAGCAGGUGGAAGGAGGAGGUUUUCAGCAGCUUUUUGGGUUUGGAGGAGCAGAAUAA